CCUGGCUAAGUUUUUAAAAAUCUUUUGAGAGCUGGAGUCUCACUGUGUUGCCCAGGCUGGUCUCAAACUCCUGGCUUCCUACCACCUCCGCCUCCCGAGGUGCUGAGAUUACAGUGCAAAUAGAGGUGACAUCGUCAGUGCAUUUAAGUACCUACAGUGGUCAAAGCAUUAAGUCAUACGCCUUGGAGGGAAUUUAAAGAAAAGUAUGGACCCUGGAGUUAGGGGCUUCAAAUCUAGCAAGAUAGACAACGGUCAGUUUACUGGAAGAUUUGUAUGUGUGCUGGCUGGAAAUCUGAUUCCAUUUCUGCUGGUUCUCUGUGCCUGGAAUGGAAUUGUUUUGGCUUAGGACCUGCCAGCUCUGUUUGGUCAGUUCCCAACUGCAUACUUUUUCAGUAUUCCUGCUUAAGACCCUGUUUUGUAUGGAUACAAAUAAAUGGAAUCAGACCCCAAGGUGACUUGGUUUCUGUGCCCAGUGGCCACCUAUCUUGAGUGUGUAGCCUCUACUGAGACACACAAUUGGCAACGCUGUUUCCAACUAUUUUGAAAGAGUGACUUCCAGGGCCACGCAUUUAGUCCUCUGUAGGAAAAGCGCUCAGGAGAGGGCCUGGGGCCUAGGAGCACUUUAGACCUGUUAGCCCACGUCCUUAUUGUCAUUUACGUUUUUUCCUCUGACUUUCAGAGCUUUUUUAGCAUCUUCAGCUGUGAAAUUCCCUGGGGGGCUGCAGCAUGGCAAAGUUUUGGGGUUUUAACAGGUGCUAUUUGCUGCAGGAAGAUGCCUGCCCCUUCCCAAGGCAGGGAAGGGGGGUAGUUUAUUGGAGGCUGUCGUUUUUUACUGUCUUAGUUUGCAUGUUUGGGCCACUCACGAAAACAUCCACCCUGCAGUAAAGUUACCUAUGUUCUCCUGUACGUGUUUGUCUGUAGAGGAAGAACACGUAUUAAUUGCCUAAAUUAAUAUAUUGUGUUAAGAUGUGAUAUGUACUGGAAAAAAUAGUAUGAAUUGAUGUUUCUGGAAUAAACCACUUUGAUGCCCAAUUACUGACUCAUUUAUCUGUGUGGUGUUUUCCUGUAUGCGGAAUGUCGGCUUCCUCACCGCGCUGGAGGGCGCCUUGGCUGUCCUCAGAAGAUCCGGCUCCAUGGAGUUGGUGCCUACAGGCCUAGACGUGGUGAUGCUGGACUUGUUUUCCCCAAAGAACACGUCUGAAAUAGGCUUCAGUGUCGUGGCUGGGCCGUGGCGUUCGUGACUUUCUGUUCCGGAUUGUGUGAGGGGGGGCUCAGGUGGGCGGAGUCCUGUCCUUCAAUGACGGCUGGAAACUUCGCCAGAUGGCCCAUGUCAGGAGACUCUGUCGUGCCUUGCAAGGCUGUCCUUAACUCUUUUACCAUCCAAUGGGGAAGUGGUCUCUCCCAGAAGUGGGCUCUGACAUGUCCCUGUAACCGACUGAAGUGGAAGCACAAAUGCCAGGGCGUGUGAGGCCACCAGAGAAUAAGAAGUAAGUGCCACCGGGCCUCUCGGCACAGCCUUGAUAAUUAGCUAACCUUGACUCAGCAUUGUUCAAAGGGAUUGUUCAGACUUAUCUCUUGCUGCUUUUGCUGUGGUGGAGAAGAGGUUGGACUCUGGAGGCUGCAAUUUUAGUUACGAUCAUCACGUGCCCCCCCAGUGUCUUCUCUGCACCCUCCCCUAGUCUACACCCCCAUGCUGCCGGUGUCAGCACCUUCUCGUACUUUCCUUGAGAUACCGCCCAACACUGUGCUAAGAACGGAGAAGACAUGGCCUGAGGAACAAGGAGGUGUCCCUACCUCGGGUUAACCCUGCUGGGGAAGACGUAAUCUGAUAAUUCUCAUCCACCUGCUGGUGGCCUUGCAGGUGUGAGCCCGCUGCUCAUACUGCAUUCUGAGUUUCAGACUCAGGCCCCUGAGGGGGGCUCGGCUGAGCAACCAAAGGGACCAGAGUGCCUUGCGAUGGGUGUCAGGACGUGGCAUCCUCAGCCUCGUCCCAAGGGCACCUGAUAAGUGUGGCCCUUACACAGCGUCCUUCAAGGCUGCCCGC
Long non-coding RNA from Lemur catta (Ring-tailed lemur), 2044 nucleotides. RefSeq lists it as uncharacterized. The record is from RefSeq and is a predicted model, not a curated record. Lineage: Eukaryota; Metazoa; Chordata; Mammalia; Primates; Lemuridae. The transcript is spliced from 5 exons.